GGCUUGGCUGGGCGGUCGACCGCAAGGUUUGCACUGCUCUGGUUGAGCUCCAUUUGCUUGGGGAAGCCUGGUGCUCUUAAUUGAGUGCUAGGGGAAAUCAGGACUGUUACUUUGAAAAAAUUAGAGUGUUUAAAGCAGGCUAACGUCUGAAUACAUUAGCAUGGAAUAAUGAAAUAGGACGGACUGAUUCUAUUUCGUUGGUUUCUAGGAUCACCGUA
Molecule: ribosomal RNA, 218 nt
Filed under: Campeiostachys nutans
Lineage: Eukaryota; Viridiplantae; Streptophyta; Magnoliopsida; Poales; Poaceae
Description: Elymus nutans partial small subunit ribosomal RNA
Rfam family: Eukaryotic small subunit ribosomal RNA (bases 89-218)
Source: RNAcentral